This 538-nucleotide ribosomal RNA is filed under the name Vibrio cholerae. RNAcentral's name for it is "bacterial SSU rRNA". It matches the Rfam family "Bacterial small subunit ribosomal RNA", at positions 1 to 527 of the family's 1533-position model. Lineage: Bacteria; Pseudomonadati; Pseudomonadota; Gammaproteobacteria; Vibrionales; Vibrionaceae. The record is from RNAcentral.
UUAAUUGAAGAGUUUGAUCAUGGCUCAGAUUGAACGCUGGCGGCAGGCCUAACACAUGCAAGUCGAGCGGCAGCACAGAGGAACUUGUUCCUUGGGUGGCGAGCGGCGGACGGGUGAGUAAUGCCUGGGAAAUUGCCCGGUAGAGGGGGAUAACCAUUGGAAACGAUGGCUAAUACCGCAUAACCUCGUAAGAGCAAAGCAGGGGACCUUCGGGCCUUGCGCUACCGGAUAUGCCCAGGUGGGAUUAGCUAGUUGGUGAGGUAAGGGCUCACCAAGGCGACGAUCCCUAGCUGGUCUGAGAGGAUGAUCAGCCACACUGGAACUGAGACACGGUCCAGACUCCUACGGGAGGCAGCAGUGGGGAAUAUUGCACAAUGGGCGCAAGCCUGAUGCAGCCAUGCCGCGUGUAUGAAGAAGGCCUUCGGGUUGUAAAGUACUUUCAGUAGGGAGGAAGGUGGUUAAGCUAAUACCUUAAUCAUUUGACGUUACCUACAGAAGAAGCACCGGCUAACUCCGUGCCAGCAGCCGCGGUAAUACG